Molecule: transfer RNA, 72 nt
Filed under: Bos taurus (domestic cattle)
Lineage: Eukaryota; Metazoa; Chordata; Mammalia; Artiodactyla; Bovidae
Also listed under: 1 other name
Rfam family: tRNA
About the family: Transfer RNA (tRNA) molecules are approximately 80 nucleotides in length. Their secondary structure includes four short double-helical elements and three loops (D, anti-codon, and T loops). Further hydrogen bonds mediate the characteristic L-shaped molecular structure. tRNAs have two regions of fundamental functional importance: the anti-codon, which is responsible for specific mRNA codon recognition, and the 3' end, to which the tRNAs corresponding amino acid is attached (by aminoacyl-tRNA synthetases). tRNAs cope with the degeneracy of the genetic code in two manners: having more than one tRNA (with a specific anti-codon) for a particular amino acid; and 'wobble' base-pairing, i.e. permitting non-standard base-pairing at the 3rd anti-codon position.
Source: Rfam by way of RNAcentral
UCCCCGGCGGUCCAGUGGUUAGGACUCAGGACUUUCACUGUGGUGGCCUAGGUUCAAUUCCUGGUUGGGGAA